UACGUAGGGGGCGAGCGUUGUCCGGAUUUAUUGGGCGUAAAGAGCGUGUAGGCGGUUCGGUAAGUCUGUCGUGAAAUCCUGAGGCUCAACCUCGGGCGUGCGAUGGAUACUGCCGGGCUAGAGGGUGGUAGAGGCGAGUGGAAUUCCCGGUGUAGCGGUGAAAUGCGUAGAGAUCCGGAGGAACACCAGAGGCGAAGGCGGCCUACUGGGCUGCACUUGACGCUGAGCCGCGAAAGCCAGGGGAGCGAACGGG
This 253-nucleotide ribosomal RNA is filed under the name uncultured bacterium. Its description in RNAcentral is "partial 16S ribosomal RNA". It matches the Rfam family "Bacterial small subunit ribosomal RNA", at positions 524 to 776 of the family's 1533-position model. The record is from RNAcentral.